This 478-nucleotide ribosomal RNA is filed under the name uncultured bacterium. RNAcentral's name for it is "bacterial SSU rRNA". It matches the Rfam family "Bacterial small subunit ribosomal RNA", at positions 335 to 799 of the family's 1533-position model. The record is from RNAcentral.
ACUCCUACGGGAGGGCAGCAGUGGGGAAUAUUGCACAAUGGGCGCAAGCCUGAUGCAGCCAUGCCGCGUGUAUGAAGAAGGCCUUCGGGUUGUAAAGUACUUUCAGCAGUGAGGAAGGUGGGUAUGUUAAUAGCAUAUUCAUUUGACGUUAGCUGCAGAAGAAGCACCGGCUAACUCCGUGCCAGCAGCCGCGGUAAUACGGAGGGUGCGAGCGUUAAUCGGAAUUACUGGGCGUAAAGCGCAUGCAGGUGGUUUGUUAAGUCAGAUGUGAAAGCCCGGGGCUCAACCUCGGAAUUGCAUUUGAAACUGGCAAACUAGAGUACUGUAGAGGGGGGUAGAAUUUCAGGUGUAGCGGUGAAAUGCGUAGAGGAUCUGAAGGAAUACCGGUGGCGAAGGNGGCCCCCCUGGACAGAUACUGACACUCAGAUGCGAAAAGGCUGGGGGAGCAAACAGGAUUAGAUACCCCUGGUAGGCGUAG